Molecule: ribosomal RNA, 465 nt
Filed under: uncultured Klebsiella sp.
Lineage: Bacteria; Pseudomonadati; Pseudomonadota; Gammaproteobacteria; Enterobacterales; Enterobacteriaceae
Description: bacterial SSU rRNA
Rfam family: Bacterial small subunit ribosomal RNA
Source: RNAcentral
CCUACGGGUGGCAGCAGUGGGGAAUAUUGCACAAUGGGCGCAAGCCUGAUGCAGCCAUGCCGCGUGUGUGAAGAAGGCCUUCGGGUUGUAAAGCACUUUCAGCGGGGAGGAAGGCGGUGAGGUUAAUAACCUCAUCGAUUGACGUUACCCGCAGAAGAAGCACCGGCUAACUCCGUGCCAGCAGCCGCGGUAAUACGGAGGGUGCAAGCGUUAAUCGGAAUUACUGGGCGUAAAGCGCACGCAGGCGGUCUGUCAAGUCGGAUGUGAAAUCCCCGGGCUCAACCUGGGAACUGCAUUCGAAACUGGCAGGCUAGAGUCUUGUAGAGGGGGGUAGAAUUCCAGGUGUAGCGGUGAAAUGCGUAGAGAUCUGGAGGAAUACCCGUGGCGAAGGCGACUGCCUGGACCAGUACUGACACUGAGGCACGAAAGCGUGGGGAGCAAACAGGAUUAGAUACCCGGGUAGUC